UAAUGUCUGGGAAACUGCCUGAUGGAGGGGGAUAACUACUGAAAACGGUAGCUAAUACCGCAUAACGUCGCAAGACCAAAGUGGGGGACCUUCGGGCCUCAUGCCAUCAGAUGUGCCCAGAUGGGAUUAGCUAGUAGGUGGGGUAAUGGCUCACCUAGGCGACGAUCCCUAGCUGGUCUGAGAGGAUGACCAGCCACACUGGAACUGAGACACGGUCCAG
Molecule: ribosomal RNA, 220 nt
Filed under: uncultured bacterium
Lineage: Bacteria
Description: partial 16S ribosomal RNA
Rfam family: Bacterial small subunit ribosomal RNA
Source: RNAcentral